AGGGCCAGGACAUCAUAGUGACCCAGGCUGUGAAAACACUUCAGGCCAGUCCCUGAGUAGAAUGAACAACAAGGUAGUCACCAUGCUGACAGCUAUUCCCUGUGUGAUUUACUUUAUCAUGAAGUCUAAAUUUGAUGCUGAAGUGCUAGCCUAAGCUCACUAACCUGCCAACUUAGAGAAGAAGGUAACCAUGGCUAGGAUGACUGGGAAUCUGAUGGACUCAAUUAAGAAUUUCUACAGAUGGGAAAACCAAACUCCUUACUGGCAAGAGGCCAAAGGUGGUCUGCAAAUUGUUGUUUCUGGCUGUUGGAAGUUGACUGCAGUUGAAUAACAGAACAAAAAUGGAGCUUCAAAAUCAUGGCAUGCCUGCUUCUUCUGGAUUCUUUUAACUGCAAGAAAUCAGCUUUGAAGACCACAUAGGGAACUUCUGAUGUGAUACAAACUUUUGUCUUUUUUUUUUUUUUGUCUUUUAAGAGCAUUCAAAAACA
This is a long non-coding RNA of Mandrillus leucophaeus (drill), 488 nucleotides long. RefSeq lists it as uncharacterized. The transcript is spliced from 2 exons. Lineage: Eukaryota; Metazoa; Chordata; Mammalia; Primates; Cercopithecidae. The record is from RefSeq and is a predicted model, not a curated record.